Molecule: ribosomal RNA, 600 nt
Filed under: uncultured archaeon
Lineage: Archaea
Description: bacterial SSU rRNA
Rfam family: Archaeal small subunit ribosomal RNA
Source: RNAcentral
UGAUAGGUCAUCUCAUCUGGAAGGAGAGAUGGCUUAAAGGGGUGCGCGAGCUUCUUUUGUGCACCUGCUCUAGGAUGGGACUGCGGCCGAUCAGGCUGUUGGUGGGGUAAUGGCCCACCAAACCUGUAACCGGUACGGGCCUUGAGAGAGGGGGCCCGGAGAUGGACACUGAGAGAAGGGUCCAGGUCCUACGGGGCGCAGCAGGCGCGAAACCUUCGCAAUGCGCGAAAGCGUGACGAGGUUAAUCCGAGUGGUUCCCGCUGAGGGAAUCUUUUGUUGGCUCUAAAAUGGCCAGUGAAUAAGGGGAGGGCAAGUCUGGUGUCAGCCGCCGCGGUAAUACCAGCUCCUCGAGUGGUCGGGGCGAUUAUUGGGCCUAAAGCAUCCGUAGCCUGUUCUGUAGGUCUUCUGUUAAAUCCAACGGCUUAACCGUUGGUCUGCAGAAGAUACCGCACGACUAGGAGGCGGGAGAGGUGGACGGUACUCCACGUGUAGGGGUAAAAUCCUUUGAUCCGUGGAAGACCACCAGUGGCGAAGGCGGUCCACCAGAACGCGCUCGACGGUGAGGGAUGAAAGCUGGGGGAGCGAACCGGAUUAGAUACC